UCAUCGGGGGCUCUUGAUCACGGUUGAAGUUGGUAGCUCCGACACCCGAAGCAGCAGCAGCAGCACCUGAGAGGAGGAAGGACUGAGUGGAGGAUGAGGCAAUUGAGUUGUUGUAGGAUGAAGACAUCUUUCUUCUCAGCUGUUUCUGGAUUUGCUAAAGCUGAUACAAAGAUCCAUAGAGAAAAAUAUAAUUAAAAAGUAAAAAAGAGAGAGAGAAGAUAAGAAAUCAAAAAAAAUAUAUAUGUAUGAUUCAGAAGAAAACGAAAGCAAGGAAUUAGAAGAACAGGAAGAAGCCAUAGAGAUUGACGACAUGGGAAGAAAAGAGAAAAAAAAAAAAAAAAUUCACUAGAAGACAUUUGCGAGAACAAAAACAAAGAGAACAAAUAUAAAUCCAAAGAGUUAGAUAUAAUUUGUAAGUUUUAGAAAGAAGACAUGGUAUAAGUUGUUUUUUUUUAUUGUACACCUUUUUGAGUUUCAGAGAAAGAAACCAAGAAGAAAAAGGUCAAUAUAAAGCUAAAAACUCAGAGACAAGCAAGAAACCAAAGAGAGCAGCUGAUGAUAGAGGAAGAAGAACAAGAAGCCACACUUAAAAAAUUAUAUAUUAUAAAUACACACACACCUCAAAAAGAAAAAACCCUAUCUCUCUCUAUCUCCUCUCUCUCUCUCUCUCUCUCUCUUGCCUUUGCUUUGUUCUUCUCUUUUAAUAAUUGGGGGUUUGAGGCCUUGUGUGAUGUCAAAUAUAUAUAGCUACAGUCCCUAUCUCUUUUUCUCCCAAUAAAGAAAAAAAAAUCUAACUUUUUAAAAAGGUGGUUUUUAUUAACCAAAUCAUGGUGUGUGGUUUAAUGGUUGAAAGAUUUACCUUUGUAUUAUCAGAAAACCAUGCAUUUUUUUUUGUAUCUUUUCACCACAAUUUUAAUCAUUUCUGACAACUUAAAAUAUAUAUAUUUUAAAAAUAAUAUAAGUUUCAGAUAUUAAUUAAUAUUUCUGUUUUAGUCUAAUAUUUUUAUAUUUCAUAUAUAUAUAUAUAUAUAAAAUUAGUAUUAUUAUUUAUGCUUUUUUAAAACCCAACUUGUAAAAUUUUUAAAACAUGAUUGAGUUUUGAAUUAUUAAAAUCAUUUUUGUCUUGAAUUAUGAAAUAGUGUUACAUUUUGAUAAAUAUAUAAUUUUAAAAGUGUGGAAAAGGUUACGGUUUGGGUGGCAUUGUAAAAACGGUGAAAUGUGGGCACAUGCGGGUGUGGUCACACCUCAGAGUCUUUCUCGUGUCUCUCUGAUGGCUUCAUGACAAAACCUCUCUCUCUCUCUCUCUCUCUCUCUCUCUCUCUCUCUCUCUCUCUCUCUCUCUCUCUCUCUCUCUCUCUCUCUCUCUCUCUCUCUCUCUCUCUCUCUCUCUCUCUCUCUCUCUCUCUCUCUCUCUCUCUCUCUCUCUCUAUAUAUAUAUAUAUAUAUAUAUAUAUAUGCAUAUGCGGUCUCAUAUAGAGACGCUCCUAUUAGAAUUUUAGAACCAAAGUUAGAUCCGGACCAAAGUCGGAUGCAGAGGACAACUGUUCUAUCUCUCCUCUCUUUCUCUCUGAAAUUUUCCUAAUGGAACCAAAGUGAGAUAUAGACAGGACAAAUAUGAGCUUAAGCAAAAAAUCUUAACAUAAUAUGACUAUUUAUUUUCUUUAGGACAAUUUUUUAGACUUUUUAAGUUAAUUAAAUAUGAUUUGUUGUUUAGAAACUAUUUUGAUACAAUUAACACAAAUAAAGAAGCCAUCUUUGUGGCAUAACCAGAACUACUAGGUAUAUACGAUUUAUAUUCCGUCUCAUAUAGAGAGAGAUCGAUGUUCCUAUUAUAAUUUUAGAACCAAAUUAGUCAGAUCGAUGUAUGUAGAACUAAUUAAUGAGCUUAAACUGGUACGUAGUCUUAUUUAAGUUCUUAAUUAAGGAAAACUAUUAGUAAAAUUUUAUAGUCAUUAUAUUUGUUUUCUUCUUUGUUAGAGAAAAUGUUGGUUAGAAAAUAUUUAAAUACAGUAAUUAACAAAAAAAAAAAGAAAGCCUCAGAUUAAGAACCUAAUCUGUGGUAAUAACAAAUGGAGUUUAGAUCAACAUUAACAGGAAAUGAAAAAUGAAAAACGACAAGUUCUUAAUCUUGUGUGGACCUUGAGAACUGUUGGAUUGGACCACACUGCGUACAAAUCUUUUAUUUUUAGAGUUUCUAACCACACAGACAGUACGAUGGUUGAGAUAUUUUCAAGAAAUUGUGUGGUAGAUAAACUAUAGGAGUCUGCAUAUAUAACUUGAUCAUUUUCAACAUAAUUCUUAUACAAUUAUUUUAUGCAUGGUCCAAAACAGAUGGGUUAUACUGCAGAUACAAUGUCCUCCAUUAUGACAGACUUGGAUCUUUCUCUCGCACAAGUAAGUCGAUGCGUCACGACAUUUCCUUUUCUAAGAACUUUUUUUUUUUUUUUUUUUUUUUUUUUUUUUUUUUGGACAAUUUCUAAGAACUUUUUAAAAAGAAGAAGAUAAAAAAAAAAACAUUUCGUUCAAUUCUUUACACAAAUGUUUGGUUAAAAUUAUUGUACGACUUCGUAUUGUUUGAGACAGUAAUUUUCACGUUAAAAAAUUAUAACAGUUUUCGCUGUUUGGUUCGCUCUCGACGUUUGGAGGAAUGUUCGGUUCAAUAUUCAGCGCCAAAGCUGCAGCUGCCUUCGGUUAUAAAAUGGUGAAGUAUUCAAUUACUCUCUAUAUUUUUUUCUUUGUCAACUUUAUUAUUCUUUAUAUUAUCCCUAUAUUUAUAAAAUUAAUGGUGAAGUAUUCAUUACUCUCUAUAUUUUUUUUUUGUCAACUUCAUUUUAUUCUUUAUAUUAUCCCUAUAUUUAUAAAAUGGUGAAGUGUUCAUUAUUCUUUAUAUUAUUUUUUUUUGUGUCAACUUCAUUGUUCCUUUUUUCCUACGACCAAUCAACUUCAUUAUUCAUUAUUCAUUAUUCAUUAUUCAUUAUUCUUCGUUUUGGCAUAUGCCUCUAACUAGUAUAUCGUUAAAGUCUUAAACCCUAGCUCACAACUUUUUUUUUUUAUCUCAAUAAUUUUGUUUAGACGUUGUGGCUCGCUGAUUUAUUCUGCAUAGCGGGUUGGCUUGCAAUUGCACUAGCCAAGGUUUCCUCAUAAACCCAUAUCUAAUAUUCUUAAGUACUUAUCUUUUUGCAACUUCAGUUAAUAGAUACAAUUAAACAAAUUCCUACUUUAAAUUUAUUUUUGCACAGGAUAUUAUUUGGCUUGACAUGGGACGGUUUUUGGUGGGGAUUGGAGUUGGUCUCGUUAGCUACGUGGUAAAUAAAUAUAAAAAAUUCCUUAAAAUUCUUUAGUCCCAAACCGUAAAUUCCUAGUAAUUUUUCUUUGAAUCGAAAACUAUGAUAGAUUCCUGUAUAUGUUGCGGAAAUAACACCCAAGCACGUAAGAGGGGCUUUUACAUUUAGCAAUCAGGUGACAUACCAAUUUAUAUAUAGUAAUCAUUUAUGCAUAUAUAAAUUUGACUUAUAAUACUAAAAUCAGUAAAUUCACAGCUGUUGCAAAACUUUGGGAUUGCGAUCGUAUAUUACUUUGGAAAUUUCGUGUCAUGGAGAACUCUAGCCAUGAUCGGUGAUUCAUUCCCAUCAUAUCUACUAUAUAUAAGUUUCAAUUCUCCCAAUUUUUUGGGUAUGUAUAUGUUUUUAUCUAACAAAAAACAAUUUCUAACCAGGCAGUAUUCCAUGUUGGAUACAAGUCAUUGGUUUGUUCUUCACACCUGAGUCUCCCAGAUGGCUGGUUAGUCAUAUUAUAAUUAAAUCAAUAUUACUUAAUUAAGAACAAUAUUUGAACAUGAUUGUUGUCAUUAAUUAAAGAAAUAAUAAUAAUAUAUGAAUACAGGCGAAAAACGGCCGUGAUAAAAAAGUUGAAGAAGUUCUACAAAAGUUAAGAGGACCAAGAUAUGAUAUUGUGCACGAAGCUCGUGAAAUUAAGGUAUUCUCAUAAUUUUGCCAAAAGGAAAGAAGAAGAAAAAAACUAAAAAAGCAUAUAUUAGUAGAUGUUCAACAUUAUUUUAAAUAUUUUUUUUGUAGAUAAUUUUAACCACCAGGGGGAAAAAAACAACAACUAGCUAGUAUCCUAAUUGAGAAAAUUACCUACAAAAGUUUUAAUCUUUCUUUACGAAUUCUCACUGUUAAAUUUGUAGAUAUCAGUUGAAGCCUCGAAACAAAGGUCGAAUAUCAGCAUUAUUAGUCUUUUCAAAAAGAGAUAUGCUCACCAACUCACAGUAAGAUAAACAAUGGUUUUUAACUUUUUAUGAUCCAUUCAUGAUAUAUAAGUAUUACUUAAAACUCUUGAAUAACGAGUUAUAUAUAUAUUUUUAUAAUAUACUGGUGUGUUUAGAUAGGGAUAGGGUUGAUGGUUAUGCAACAGUUAUGUGGAUCGGCGGGAAUAGGUGGUUACGGAACCACUAUAUUAAAUCUUGCCGGUAAAUCACAUUUAUUCCCUCUUUUCAUCAAGGUGUAAUGUAAUUUAGUUAGAAUAUAUAUAUGUACUAGCAUACUAAAAACACUUUUUUUUAUCUUCUAGGAUUUCCUUCUCGGAUUGGGAUGAUGGUGUUGUCUUUUAUCGUCGUACGUAAACAAAAAAAAUUAUUACUAGAUAUGUUUUUCUAUCACAUGAUUAUUGAUCGUAUUCUCACAUCGUAACAAUGCAUGAUAUUAUAUUGUAUUAUCAAUGAUCAUGCAUAGGUACCAAAAUCUUUUAUGGGUCUACUCCUCGUGGAUCGAUGGGGAAGACGUCCACUUCUUAUGGUUAGAAUUUUAUUUCUUCUAGAGACUACCUUUAUUUGCUUUCUCAAUUGACAUUUAGUCGUUAAUUAGUUGGGUACAUAAAAUAAACGGCUAAGCAAAUGCUAUUUUAGAGUGUAGUUAUUGUAACAUAUAAACUAAACAUAUUUCGAACGAAUUUGCAGGCUUCAGCAUUUGGGUUAUGUUUGAGCUGUAUCACAUUAGCAGUAGCGUUUGGAGUUAAAGAUGACCCACAUCUUGGAAAAAUUACUCCAAUUUUCUGUUUCAUUGGAAUACUGGUAUGUUUUCAUUAUUUGAUAUUCAGUUUUUGAAACUGUAUAUCAAACUAGCUAGCUCAUAAAUAUUGAUUUUUACAUAUACUUGUAUUUGGUAAAUUUUAAAAAAUGUGACGACAAGUUAUAACAAUUUUAUAAAUUGAAACAGUCAUUUACGAUGAUGUUUGCAAUUGGGAUGGGAGCGUUGCCGUGGAUUAUCAUGUCUGAGGUACGUACGUAUACACACAUAUGAUCAAACAUAUUCUUAUUUACUCUCUUUUGGAUCAAAUGAUCGUUUUGCUAUAUAUUAUUAAUUAUUUAUGUAUAAAAUAUGUUCUUGGCAGAUAUUUCCAAUGGAUAUAAAGGUAUUAGCAGGGAGUUUAGUGACCAUAACCAACUGGUUCACUGGCUGGAUCGCCAACUAUUGUUUCAAUUUUAUGUUCGUUUGGAGCCCAACCGGUGAGUAGUAACGUUACUAUAUAUAUAUAUCUACACAUAUAAUCUUGUUCGAUUGAUAACUUCAUACAAAUUUAGAUAUCACUGCCUCUCUCAUUCAUUCAAGUCUUUUUGUUUAUAGCUUUUCCAUGCAAGUGCAAGUCUUGAGUUUUUUUUUUCUUGUAUUUGUUAAAACAGAAAAAAAAAUUAAAAAGAAAAAGAAAUGUUAAUCGUGUGGUUUACAAACAAACUAGAGGAUGGCCCGUGAUUUCGCACGGAUGAUUUUUUUUAAACUAAAGAUAUAAUUGGAUUUGUAUUAAUAUUUGGUAUUCAAUAGUAUAGGAUAAACAUAAUAGUCUUGUAUAUUUUAAUUUUAAUUCUAUAGAGUUAAAUCGCGUGUUAAUUUGUAUAUUUUAACUGUAUAGAAAGUAAAUAAUAUAUACAAUAGUAAUUAGGUCUGGUUUUAAUAUAAGUACGUAUAUAUUAUAUUUUCCCUAAAACCGUUAAAUUUAUCAAUCACGGACAUUACCUCAACGGUGUAUAAGAAAAUGCAAUCUUUUAAUAUAAUUUACAAAAAUUGUAUAUCGGUUGAAAGAUAACAUAAGUGAUAUAUAACAAUUUCAUAAAUUUGGAUAAUCUAUUUAUGAAUACCUUAUGAAUAAAAUUUAACUAUUGGCAAAAGUAUAUGAUAAACUAAUCUGCUAAAAUGUUAACAAAAAAGGAAAAUAUGAUAAAUAUUGUAAUUGUAAACAAUUUUAAUAUAAAAUUUAAUCUUUAAUCUACUUGAAAUAAGGUAAAUUAAAUGUUUUAAGUUUAAUAAUGUACGAAAUAUUUGAAUUUAGAAAUAUUAAUGAAAAACAUAAAAAACUGAGAUUUUUCACCUAAACUAUUUCCUUAAUUGAAAAUUUUAAUACCUAUUAAAUCUUUUAGAUAUUCGAAAAUAAGAUUUAAUUCCAAGACCCGAUUAAGAGACCUGUUUUAAGAGAUGACCAGAAUAUCUUUCAAAGUAAUGCUAUUUUAAUAUUUUAAAAUUUAGUUUAAAUUAAUUAAAUGCUUACCAAAAUUAAAUUUAUUAUCAUUUUUAUCUAAAAUCGGUUAGUAAAAGAGGUAAUAUUAGUUGAAAUUUAUUUCCUUCCUUUUUCGUUUCUGAAAAUGAUUUUUUCUUAUAAGUUUUUAAAGAAAAAAUGUUAACAAUCAAAUUUUUUAUUUCAUAAAAUGUAUAUUAUUUUUAUUCAUGGUUAAAAAAUAUAUUAGUUACAUAAGAUCUUUUAAGAUAUCUUGCAUAUAUUAUGUUUCAAAAAAAUAUUUAAGUAUAUAUUUUUCAAAUUUAUUUUCUCUUUUAUAACAAUGAAAAUAAUUUAAGAGUUACAAUAAAACCACUAAAAUAAAUUUGAAUUUAUUUUAAAUUUUAUUCCUUAGUAGCCUUACAUGCACCUUUUGGUUAUAAAUUUCACAUAUAUUAAUUGAAAACUUUAAAUUAUUCAGGAAAUAAUGAAUACUUAUAUAUAUAUAUAUAUUAUAAAACUUUAAAAGAAAAGGAGUGCUAUUUUUUAAUAAUAAGUAAUUAAAUGUUUUCAAAAUUAAAUUGGAUUAAAACCUUUAAUACGAAGUUUGUGAAUAAAAAAAGAUGCACAAAUAUUAAUUUAAUUUCUUUUGUUUACUUUAAAAAAACGUUUUAAAUAUAAAUGAUUUUAGUUAAAUAGUUUAGGAAAUAUUUAAUUCACGUAUAGGAAUAGUAAUGAAGACAUAAUAUAUUGAGAUUCUUCACCUAAUAAAUUUCCUUAGAUAAAAAUUAUAAUAUCUAUAAAAUCUUUUAGAUAUUUGAAAAUUUAGAUUAACGAUCAAGAUUUAAUCUACAAAUAAACGAUUGCGAUAAAAUCUUAAAUGCAUAUAUAUAUAUAUAUAUACCAUGUAAUUUAGAGGAAAAUUUUUUAAAAGGAAUAUUAACCAUUUUAUUUAACUUUUUUUACAUAUAUGAUGAUAAGAAGUAGGACUAAAUAACCUUCGAAUGCAUACCACGUUUUUUGGGUUUAUUGGGGAGGAUGUUGUUGAUCUUCGUAGUUUUCCCAAAGACAUCAAAAUCUCAAGCUACUACAUCAAAAAGUAGAUUACAAUUAGUUGUUUUAAAAAAAUUAAACACAAAAAGUAAAAUAUUAUGAGUAAACAUUGAUUAAAAACGAUAUGAAAGCAUGUGGUGUGAAAAUUUGUAUUAGUUCAUGCUUUGUUUUGUGAGAUAUAUAUUUUGUCUCGCUUUUGAAAUGAAUGUAAACUAAGAAAACAUGGAAUGGUUUAUAUAGGCUGUAAAAAUGGGGUAGUUAAUAUUUUAGAAUAUUUGGUUUGAGAUUUAGUUUUGAAAAGAAAUAACUUUAUUCAAUUUCAAUCACUAAAUUAUCGUGAUUUUAUUGUUAAAUAUUAAAUAUUAUAUCCGAAUAUUCCAUUUUUAGAAGACUUAGAAUAACAAAUCAUGUUUAUAUUUAAUAGGCGAAUUUAAUUACCAUAAAUUAGUAAAUUGUUAUAAAUUAAGAUAUAAUCCGUUGAUUUUGCCUACCAUAAAUUAAUGAUUUUGAUAUAAACGAUUUAGAUUUAAAUGAUUAAGGAAAUAUAUACAUAUUAUGGAUUUUAAAUGAUUAAGGAAAUAUAUAUUCAAAGAAAAUCGAAUAGGAUAAUGNNNNNNNNNNNNNNNNNNNNNNNNNNNNNNNNNNNNNNNNNNNNNNNNNNNNNNNNNNNNNNNNNNNNNNNNNNNNNNNNNNNNNNNNNNNNNNNNNNNNUUAUUUAUAAAAAUCUUACAAAUAAAAAGUUAUAUUAUCAAAUGUAUUUAAAAAAUGUUAAUAUAGAUUGAUUUGGUUGGUCAAGUUAAAAAUUUCGAUCAAGAUCUUUAUAAAAUAUUUGAAAUUAAGAAAAUCUUGUCAAUUAAACUAAAUUUUAGGCAUUGUAUCUUACAAAUAAAGUUAAAUAUCAAACGUAAUAAUUAUCUUUCCUUUAAUAUUGAAAACCAAUUUUUUUUUUUAUCAACUGAAAAAUGAACGAUGGAGAUUAAAUCUCUAAACCCGAUUAACAUAUCCGUUUAGUUAGUUAGAUCCGCGUGUUAACGCAGUUAGAAAUGAUAAUUAUUUCAUUUUGAAACUAUAGUAUAAAUUCAUUGUGUACUUCAGAUUUAAUAGUAUAGAUAAAUGCAGGGACAUUUAUAAUAUCAGCGGCAGUAUGUGGAGCAACAAUUGUAUUCACAUGGUGUUUGGUGCCGGAGACUCGAGGAUUGACAUUAGAAGAAAUCCAACUCUCGUUUGUCAAUUAAUAUAUUAUUCAUUAUUUUUGUUUUGAUUAAUUUUUAACAUUACGUUUCCAUUGUGUAAUUGAAUUCAUAACCAACGUUUACUAUUUCUUAUUUUGUUUGUAACAUAUAUAUAUAUAUAUAUAUAUAUAUAUACAGAUUUGCAUUCAGAUUAUGUUAUGUAUUACUAUAGGACAUAUUUCUAUACUUUUUUCGAUUUUUUCAGUUAUUAAUCAUCUACUUCAUUAUGUAACUAUAAAAAUAUGUUAGUGUGGUAUAUCACAAUAUCAGUAUAUAUGUUACAAGAAAACAAAGAGACCACGUUGUAAAGGAGAGAACCUACAAAACGUUGUCGUUUUCAAACUCGCUCUCCAGAGGUGAUAAGAGUCGAGGGACGUUCGGGUACACUCAACGACGACCUCUCGCUUAACGAGAGAUAUGUCUCUGAAACCUUACUUCUCUCUACGACUACACUCAUCACUGCCUACAAAUUCUAAACUCUCCAACUUCUUCAUCGCUCAGCAACCCUCCGGCGACCGCAAAACUACCCCGGCCGAGGAGUUUUCUUUUCUAGCUGAGAGAUUCAACCGUCGCCUUCUUCUGGGUGUAGGCUCGUCCUCUGUUCUUGCCGUCGGUGCUAAUUUCGGUGGUAUCACUAGCUUUUUACUCGGUUUAUCGCCGGAACUCGGCCGGAAUUUGAAACUCGACGUCGUCUAUCCGAUUGGAGGUUAUAGCAGAUGUGUCGACUCGGUUGAAGGAUUCGGUUAGUAAAGUCAUCCAAUUUUUCCGGUUUAAAUAUAUUAAUAGUUUAUUCGAAGAUGGAUCAAUUUUUUAUUAAUAAAUAAUCACAGAAUUUAUAUAUCCGGCUACGUGGGUUGGAGACCAGACGCUUUUGUAUAGAGCGGCGGAGAAGUCUGAACGUGAGACAUCGCUAGACCUUCCUCCGGCAAGAAUCAGUAGUCGCCGUAAAAACGUUAAUGAGCCGGUUGUUGCUUUUGGACCUCCCGGUUCGACCGGCGAGCUCAACGUCAGUGUUAUCGUCUCCCCUGUCUCACCCACUUUCUCGUAAGUUGAAAAUCACAUAUUUUUGUAGAUCAUGAGUGGACACAUUCUUUGUUCAUAUGGUUUACAAAGAUUUUGCAAAACAAAAAAGAAACUUUGAACUAGCUAUGAUAAAUCUGAUUGAUCAUGAGAAAGAAAUGUUGUACGGCUAGAUAUAUUGGUUUUGUGGUCUAACUAGUUUCAAGAUUGUUUAUUACACUACAUCUAGUAAUGUUUGAACUGAAACAGUCUAUCUAUCUCAGUGUGCAUCCGUCACAUAAGUUGGUAGGACACCCGAUUAGCUAAAGUGUUAAAGACUGUCUUAAAGUUGUGUAGCAAUUGGUUUAUUUGAAGAGGAUCAACGUAAGACAAUAAUUUCCUUAUGAAGUGUUUGUUGUUUAUGAUGUAUGUAUAGGAUCGAAGCAUUUGGAGGGCCAAAAGAAGUAGGAGAAGCAAUAGUAAGAACGGUGACAGGAUCUGGUCAACGAACAGAUUUAAAAGGAACUUUGCUGGAAUCAAAUCUCAGACAAGAUUCAGAGAGAAACUUGAAGUACUAUGAGUUGGAGUUUAAAGUUGAAUCCCCCGUUUUCCGGCGGCAUAAUGUAGCCAUUUGCUGUGCUCACGGUGGCCGGCUUUAUACGCUGAACGCUCAAGCUCCAGAGUCAGCUUGGUCGGAGGUGAGAUCAGAGAUUUACACUACUGCUAAAUCGUUCAACAUCAUUUCUUGACCGUAAAGGAAAUCAAAUUGUAAAAACCAAACCAAAAAUGAAAUAAGACAUUUACAAAGCAUGGCUUAUUUUGUUUCUUCAGUAAUCAGUAAGUAGAAUUCAACCAAAGAGACCACGUUCGAACCAACUAAUGUUUUUGUGGAAGAUUGAGGACACAAUAAGCGAGACUGAGUAACACUAUUUUGAGCAUAAUCAUGUCUUUAUUGAUCGUGCCGCUAUAUAAACACUGCACCUAGCAAUUAUAAAAUUUUGAUUAAUUAAAAAAUAUUAUUUUUUAAAAAUUAAAUAGAAAGUAAUAUAUCAUAAAAUUGCAUCUUUAAACAAACGAAACUAAAAAACGCCCAUCUCUGCUCCUCGGCUUCUCUCAAUCUCCGAUCAAAUCCGCGGUUGAAGUCAGAGAAAGAGACAAAUGGCUAUGGCUAGAGCAACCUCUGGUCCCGCUUACCCGGAGAGGUUCUACGCCGCCGCAUCUUACGUCGGUCUCGACGGAUCUGAUUCGUCGGCGAAAAACGUCAGCUCGAAAUUCUCCAAAGAUACUGCACUACUUUUCUAUGCGCUGUACCAGCAGGUCAGCAACUCCCAUUUCUGAUCUCCCAACCUCAUCCUUCCGGAUUUUGGUUUUCAAUUUCACGAGAUCUGGUGGUUUCAAUGUUCAUUUCUUUGUUUUGUUCAUCGAUUCAUAUUCAAUCUCCUCGAAUUCUUAUCAGAUUUUUGAAAUGACGCACUUUAAUCGUCUUGAUUUAGCUAUAUUUCACGAUCCUGGUCAGGUUUUUUUUGGAUGUUACCAGAGAGAGUACGAGUUAAGAAAAAAGAUCCAUCCAUUGCUGACCGUUUAACUUCUAAGUGAAAUGUUGCCUGAGAUUUGACUUUAAAACGUGAUUUAAGUAGUUCUAUUAAUCAGAUCUCACGUACUCAUUGGUCCUUCAAUCUUAGUUUGUUAGAUCCAUAUUGAUUAUGUAACUUGUUAUGUGAUUCUAAUGUCAAAAAGUUAGCCUUUUCACAUGUGUUUUUGUGUUCUGCAUCCUUUGAUCAUUGGUACUUAGUCAGUAUUAGUAUUGUCGUAGACUAAUUUUUUAUAUACAUGGUGCUGAACUGGUUGUUGCUUUAGAGAGAGAGGGAGAAACUUUCUCUUCUACUUAAUCAUAUGUUGAGUCAACUAAAAUUUCCUCCCUGGGAUUGAUAGGCUUUGUGUUGAUGCUUUCUUGGAUUUAACAUGUAAACAGGCUACUGUCGGGCCAUGCAACACUCCCAAACCUAGUGCAUGGAGACCUGUGGAGCAAAGCAAAUGGCAAAGGUUAGUUUGCUGCUUUCUGCCAAUACUUAUCUAUGAUUAACAUCUAUUCAUUCAUCACUGGCUCUUUUACGUUUCUACGCUUGAGUUUGUGAAUCAUAUUUGUAGGAAGAAGUUUUGUCGUAGAUAUAACUAGGAGAUGCCUUAGAUUUUAUCAAUUACUAGAGUGGAAGAAUUCAGAUGCCUCAUAAGGGGAACCGCAAAUGGGGUUCUACUGUAAGCUGUUAGAGGAAUAUUUGAAAUGCAGGAUUUGUGUUUGCACCCCUAUGGAAAAAACUAAAUUCUUACCUAUGUUUUGGUCUACAUUACCGAGGUUGUAACUGCAUAGGAUGCUUUUUAAGGAAAACAUGCCUUUAACGUUGUCCUAGUAAACUUUGCUGAAAGAAACACAUGCUGCUAUUCUGAAGCAUUUCUAUAUAUACUUUAGUUGGAAGGGGCUAGGAACGAUGCCGUCCAUUGAGGCAAUGCGUCUCUUUGUGAAAAUUCUGGAGGUAACUGACAGAGAGGUCUAAGAUUAUUAUCUUAAACGACUUUACUGGAGCAUAUACUUGAUUUCUUCCCAAUUAUUGUUCAAUUUUUACCAGGAAGAAGAUCCUGGUUGGUAUUCGAGGGCAUCUAAUGAUAUUCCGGACCCUGUCGUAGAUGUCCAAAUUAAUGUAAGUUUUUCUAUCCCAUGGGAUUCAAUGUCUAAACCAUGAGAAAUAUUACACAUAUCUUUUGCUUGGCUGAAGAAAAGUAUUCGAGUCUUUUAGUGCUUCAUUCUCUGUAGCAGACAACGAAAGAUGAGCCUGUUGUUGAGAACGGGAACUCAUUUGAUGAGACGAAGACAAUUUCUACUGAGAAUGGACGUUUGGCUGAAACCCAAGAUAAAGAUGUAGUCUCAGAAGACUCAAAUACUGUUUCUGUAUAUAACCAGUGGACCGCACCCCAAACAUCAGGUCAGAUGCCAAAAGCCCGUUACGAGGUAAUUUAAUUUCUCUCUCUUUUGGAAGAUAAGUAAAACGUCCUAUCAUUCAUGAAUCUUCUGUAUUUUCUAAGUCUUGUUUUAUUACAUUUGUUUCUUUAGCAUGGAGCAGCGGUUAUUAAAGAUAAGAUGUAUGUAUAUGGUGGAAAUCACAAUGGCCGUUACCUCGGUGAUCUUCACGUAAGCAACUUAUAUGAUUCUUAAGCAUAAGCUGAUUGAGAUAUUUUGUUUCAUUUUAACCUAGCUUGGCAAUUUCAGCCCCGUUGACAGUUCCUAAGCGCUUCUUCUGUGAACUGUGUAUAGGUUCUAGAUUUAAAAACCUGGACUUGGUCAAGAGUUGAAACCAAGGUGGCAACUGAAUCACAGGAAACAUCAACUCCAACAUUAUUAGCUCCUUGUGCUGGUCAUUCUUUGGUUAGUUUUUAACUUUUGCAUUUUGUUUUGUUUUCUCUCAUUUGACUUUCUGGCCUAGAUAUUCAAGACAUGGUAACAAAGGAGAGUCUAGCUAUACAUUAUUUUCACUUGUCUCCUUUGCUUGUUUUGUAGGUACCAUGGGACAACAAUCUGCUGUCUAUCGGUGGUCAUACAAAAGAUCCCUCAGAAUCUAUCCAAGGUUAGUAUUAAUAUACCUUUGAAGACGAUUAGUUGCACAUAUCUUAUAGAAGUUUUCUGGACUCAUUAAUUACAUAUCAUUUUUCCGCUGUUUUCUUGUCACAGUGAAGGUCUUUGAUACCCAAACAAGUACAUGGUCAAUUUUGAAGACAUAUGGAAAACCGCCGGUAUUUCUGCUUCUCUCUGUCUCAUUUUUUUUGUCCGUCACCUUUUCAUCGAAAUAUUCCAUUUUAUAAACAAUUUUUAAGUUUUUGGCCGUCAAAAUACAAAAAAAGAAAAAAAAAAGAAAAAAGUUGUUUCUUGUUUUCUUUUCUUACCCUCCCAUAAUAUCUCCAGGGUUAAGUUGCAUCUGAAUCUAGUAUUUCUCCUUCUUGAUUGGAAGGUUAAAUAUGCAGUUUAGUUACUUAGACUGAGACUUCAUUAAUUCUUCCUUUCAGGUUUCACGUGGAGGCCAGUCAGUCACAAUUGUGGGUAAAACUUUGGUGAUAUUUGGUGGGCAAGAUGCAAAGCGUUCACUUCUGAAUGAUUUGCAUAUACUUGACCUAGAGACGAUGACCUGGGAUGAGAUAGAUGCCGUGUAAGAUUUUAUGAUGCUUCUGCACUUUGUUCUCAUUCGAAGAUGUGAAACCCAUUUAAUAUUAGAAAUUUAACCCGAAUACCUUUAUAAAUCCACCAUCUAUCUCCUUUAGUAAUUAAAUAGUCGUUUUUGAAAGAUUAGCAAUUCAGGGUUGAAACUGGUGUCAAAUUGCAGGGGUGUAUCUCCAUCUCCGAGGUCUGAUCAUGCUGCUGCAGUGCAUGCGGAACGUUACCUUCUUAUCUUUGGUGGGGGCUCACAUGCAACCUGUUUUGAUGAUCUGCAUGUCCUUGAUUUGCAGACUGUAAGCUAAGCUAAGAGUCUAUUUUUCAGCUGCUAUCAAACGUUCUUUGUCGUUUGAUAUAACUGUUACAUGCAGAUGGAAUGGUCAAGACCAGCACAACAAGGUGAGGCACCAACUCCAAGAGCUGGACAUGCUGGUGUGACAAUUGGGGAGAACUGGUUUAUUGUUGGUGGUGGUGAUAACAAGAGUGGUAUGUUCAUACACUUUUCCAUGGAAAUUAUCUUCUUUUCCCAACCGUUUCUGUUUAUUCCCCUCUGGAACCUUUCUGGGGAAAAUAGAUAUUUGCUUUGUCUUGCGUGGUAACUGAUUUGUGAUAAAUUACUGCAGGGGCAUCUGAGAGUGUUGUACUAAACAUGUCAACUCUUGCAUGGUCGGUAGUCGCUUCAGUUCAAGGACGUGUACCUCUUGCUAGCGAGGUACUUAAAUGAACGGAGUUUAUCCAUGUUAACCUCCAGAUUACUAUUAGAAAACAGUAUUUUCACCACAUUAUAGUUGCUUUUUAAAGACUUCCAAAAAUAUCAGUUUUGUGUAUUUCAAUUUCAUCUUCCUUUCGUUUUCUACUGACAGGGAUUAAGUUUAGUCGUGAGUUCAUACAAUGGUGAAGAUGUAUUAGUCGCCUUUGGUGGAUACAAUGGGCGUUACAACAACGAGGUAGAGACUGUGAUCUAAACCCAUAAGUACAUGUCUCUUGAUUUUGCAUAUAGUUCUGCUUCUAAUUAUUUCUUGGCGGUAGAUCAAUCUUCUUAAACCAAGCCACAAAUCAACAUUGCAAACAAAGACUCUAGAAGCGCCUUUGCCAGGUAGUCUUUCUGCUGUUAAUAACGCCACAACCAGAGACAUUGAGUCUGAGGUUGAGGUGAGCCAAGAAGGCAGAGUGCGGGAAAUCGUCAUGGACAAUGUUAACCUUGGAUCAAAGGUAUAUUCUUGUCAGAAUUUUCGUCCUUAUAGCAGCACCGUUUGAUUUGGUCGUGAUUUUGACUCACCUAUCUAUUGCGAUAUUAUAUUUAAAAAAAUAUCAGUGUGGCUAUUUUGACUUUUGUGGGAUAAAGAUGCAUAUAUAUUAUAUGGUACUGGUAGUGAUUGUACCAGCACAGGAUAUAGUUCAGUCCGGAUCAUCUCCAUCUCUUUUGCUCUUAUGUUGUUUUUGGUAUGAAUCCCCCAGGUUGAAGGAAACAACGAAAGCAUUAUUACGACUCUUAAAUCCGAAAAAGAAGAACUAGAGGUAUCACUGAACAAGGAGAAGAUGCAGACUCUCCAACUAAGGCAGGAGUUAGGAGAAGCAGAAUCACGAAAUACAGAUUUGUACAAGGUAAUAAGAUUAUCAUCUUCUUGAAACACAAACCUACAUGAAUAAAUUGGUGAACUAAUAGUUCAUUAUGACUGGUUGCAGCAAAUGCUUCCAAUUGCAUUCACAUUUAAUCAUCUGAAUCUAAGAUUUUUUCUCUUACUCUACUUUGUACUGCCAUUUUAUAGGAACUUCAGUCUGUUCGUGGCCAACUUGCUGCCGAACAAUCAAGGUGUUUCAAACUGGAGGUAUAAAACCCGUAGCCACUUCUCUGUUAUACUGUAACCUACAGAAGAUGGAAACUCGUGAAACCUGUGAUUUAUUUAAUCACUACAUAUACUCAACUAGGGGAUGAUUUAGGAAUCUAGAUGGUUAGAACUUAAAUCCAUUCCAAACAGUGGAUCCAUCACUAAUCUCUCUGUCAUCUGUUACAUCAUGGAAAGAAAAAACAAAGCAAAUCUAAUUCGGGUCUGGUUCUUUAAAUCAAUCUGCAGGUUGAUGUUGCAGAGCUAAGGCAAAAGCUUCAAACAUUGGAAACACUACAAAAGGAACUGGAACUCCUUCAGCGUCAAAAGGCAGCAUCUGAACAAGCUGCAAUGAACGCUAAACGACAGAGCUCGGGUGGCGUCUGGGGCUGGCUCGCUGGAAGCCCUCAGGAGAAGGAUGAUUCGCCAUGAGAAUUUUUUUACAGAAUUGAUCAUUUUCUUUUGAGUAAAGAAAUAUAUACAUAUAGAGAGAGAGAGAGAGAUUUUUUUUGUCCGAGUCCCUCACAUGGUUUCUUCUUCUUCCAAAUAAGAUAUUUGAAUACCGUAUUUUUUGAGCUUUGUUCUAUAUUACUCUUAAAUCGUGUUAGUUCUCUGUUAUUUAUACAAGUUAUCACCAGAAUAUUUGUUAACUGUUUUGAAGUAUUUGUCUUGCGAGUGUCAGAGAAAAUUAAUAUUCUGAUGUUUUUCGACUUACGAGUCAGUAUACUGUUGGUCUUUAACAUUAAAUUAAUUCUGUAAGCCAUAAAAUAAAAUAAAUGGUAGGAAGACGAAGACAUCACGUUUUCUUGCGACAAAAAAGAAUACCAAGACGUGGCGACCUGCUAUUGGACGUGAAGGUUCAACCGUUGAGCAUCAGCAUUCAUGACGCUGAAAAGUUACCAAAAUGUCCCUGUCACACAAGUGAAGUGUUCUUUUUUUUUUUGUCAUCUUCUCCAGCUUUCCUCCCAUGGAGUUUUUUUAAAUCGUCUCUUCCAGACAUCUAAAAAAAUAUCAAGAUUUAAACAAAAUUUACACAUCGUCUGGCUUCGAGUUGUUUCUGGGGUUUGAUGUCAUUGUUAUGAAGCUGUUGAACUCAGAGAGGUUCAAGUGCGGUUAGAGAAAUGGACUCUGCUAAGGUGAAGGCUAGGGUUUUUGGCGAUAGUUUUGUUUCUUUUACUGGUAAUGAUGGCUCGAAGAAAUUAGAAGCGAUUGAUCAGGCCAAAGCUUUCCUUAUGGACCUUGAUUCGGUUGCUACAGACAGGGGAAGUGAUAGUUGUGGAUAUUGCGAUUUAGGUUCUCGAGUGUCUGACAGUGAAAGGGAACCUAGUUUAUGUGAGAUGAAAAGAGAGAAUAGAGACUCUGACGCCAAAUUUUAUAAGCUCAGCUUGGGAGCUGAUGAGAAGAACACAGGAACGGCUUCGAAGGAGGAAACGCGAGUUCCGGACUACAAAUCUUUCUUGUCUGAGUUCGAUGAUUAUGUUGCAAGCGAGAAAAUGGGUUCUAAAGUUUCUAGGGCGUUGAGAAAUGGGUUUGAAGUGGGAGAUAUGGUAUGGGGAAAGGUAGAGUCACAUCCUUGGUGGCCAGGUCAAAUAUUCAAUGAAGCUUUUGCGUCUCCCUCUGUUCGUCGUAUGAAGAAGAUGGGUUACGUUCUGGUUGCUUUUUUUGGAGAUAGUAGUUAUGGCUGGUUUGAUCCUUCUGAGCUUAUUCCCUUCGAACCUCAUGUCUCAGAGAAAUCAAAGCAAACGGAUUCGAGUCACUUUGCAAAAGCUAUGGAGGAAGCUAUGGAUGAAGUUGGUCGAAGGUCAGCUCUUGGGUUGACUUGUAAAUGUCGGAAUCCUUCUAACUUUGGGCCUACUAGUUUUAAAGGUUACUUUGCUGUUCAUGUGCCUGAUUACGAAGUCCGAGCUAUUUACUCUUCUAAGCAGAUUCAGAAAGCUAGAGAUAGUUUUUCAUCUGUUCAAACUCUAGCUUUCGUAAAGCGCUGUGCAUUAGCACCUCAAAAGUGUGAUUCAGACAGCAUAAAGUCUUUCCAGAAGAGAGUCGCAGUUUAUGCUUUCCGCAAGGCAGUGUUUGAGGAGUUUGAUGAAACAUAUGAGCAGGCCUUCAGGGCAAGAUCUUCAGUAAAGACAAAUGAACCACUUAAUAGAGCACCCCCUCGAGGUAGCAUCACCUUUCAGCGAUCUUGGCAUUGUUUUGAAUACAUUUGUAAUAUUUCUGCUUCAGUUUUCAGAUUCUAUGAAGUUAUGUUGGACCUUUCUCGUAUGUAUCAUAGAGAUGCAGUACUCUAUAAAUUGGUGAUCUCUUUGGGUUCAGUUUUGCUUGUUUCUCGAGCCAGAUAGGCACAUUCGAGAGUUUUGUGGCUUUGAUAUCCUUGGAAAUCCGAGAAGUUUAGACUUUUUAAGGUUUUCUUGGUAGUAUAUAGCCUUUGAAGUUGUAUUCUUAGAAUGCGUCUAAAAGGCAUGGAAUAUCUUUGAUCUUAAAUUCUGCAUUUUAAAGCAACUUCACAAUGUGGACUGUCAUUUUACCUUUCCUGUUUGCUUUACUUUUAUUGUUUUUGGGUGGUUGGAAAAGAUUUCAUCUUUCCUCAUGCAUUGCUAAUGUUUACAGCCCCAUUGAGUGGCUCACUGGUCCGUGCAGAAACUCUGAACAAGUCGAAGAGCUCAACAAAAGCUAUGAAAGUAAAGGAUUCUACUAAACAAGAAAAAUAUCAUCCUAAAAGAAGAGAGGAAGCUGGUUAUAUGACAGUUCAAUUUGGUCGGGUCCAAACAUCUUUUCAUCUUCAGGGCAUCAACGGAUCUUCAGUCAGGAAUCAUGUACUGCAGAAAAGGACUCAACAUCUCCAAACUCCGAGGAAACAUGAGCAGACCGGGAUUGUCAGCAUGAACUUCACCUCUUCAAGUGGUGAUAUUCCUAGAAAGAAAUCCUCUGUUUCAACGCUCUCGCGUGAUGAUGACAAGGGUUUAGCUCAAGAAUCAGAGGUGAGAAUGGGAGAAGAAACUGCUCUAUGUCCUGACCAUGAGAAAUUUGAAGCAAUGACCAGUCUUAACCAAGUUGAGACUGGCAUGAAUUCGAGAUUCAAGGAAGGCUCUCUCCAGCCCUUUAUUGAGAGAAAAUGUUCUGCAGAAGUUGGGAAUAAGGAAGGCAAUGUCCUGAAACGGUCUUCUGGCGAAAUGAAUUCUGAGAAUGGUCCUCCAGAGCCGAUGAAGAAGAAGAAGAAGAAUUCGAAGAAAGAGUCUGGGUCAGAGCUGAACCAUUAUAGUCCAAAUAAGAGGAAAGCUUUAUCUUCUGGUGAAGCUUGGGCCAAGAAAUCAUCACAACUGAAUUCAGCAAAGAGAAACUCUAAACUUGAUGGUCUACAGCUGUUGAGUUAUUUGCAAGCUCUCUCGCUUGACCCUUCCUUUGGAUCCUCGGAUAGAAGUUCUAUUAGAGCUGUAAGACAGUUCUUUUUGCGUUUCCGAUUGCUUGUUUACCAGAAAAGCUUGGCCGUUUUUUCUCCUUUCACGACACAACCAUCAAAUUGUGCUAAGACUUUGAGCAGAACCAAUGAACCAUUAAAGGCCAGGAAAAAACGCUUGCCUUCUGCCCAUCAACAAGAUGUCCCAACUAAGAAGCUAAAGAAAACCAAUCAGUUCAAAGCUAUGGCUUUUGACAAGAAAUCCAACCAAGAAGCAACGAAGAGACCAAGUCUUGGAUCUUUUAAUAUAGUAAGAGACCGAGUUGGUCCAGCCCCCAUCAGUGCCAAACCGGCUAUAGCUCAACUAGAAAAGAAUAUGGCUCCAUCUGCAAAGGUACUUGAGCCAACAAUGCUGGUCAUGAUGUUUCCUCCUGGUACAUCUCUCCCUUCCACCGCUCUGCUUAAGGCGAGGUUUGGACGCUUUGGACAGUUAGAUCAAUCAGCCAUCAGAGUUUCCUGGAAAUCCUCAAUCUGCCGUGUUGUCUUCCUGUCUAAACUCGAUGCGCAGACUGCUUUAAGAUAUGCAUCAGGAAGCAACUCUAUAUUUGGCAACGUGAAUGUGACGUACUUUCUCCGCGACAUGAAUGCUCUCUCUGCAUCCGGAGAUCAUGAACUGAAGAACGCCAAGAUAGACGAACCAAUCAGUGAACAACCAUUGAACGAGCGGCUAGAGCAAGCACCGCCGGUUAACCAACCAAACAUCCAGCUCAAGUCCUGUUUGAGAAAACCAGGAAAUAAUGUUAAUGGUAAGCACGGUACAGCACGAGUGAAAUUCACGUUGGGUGGGCAAGAAACAGAGACAAAGUUUUUGGUUUCCGGUAGAAACAAUGGAAAUGACACUUCAUCAUCAUCAUCAUCAUCUGUUGCCAUGGGAUAUGUUAGUAAGAACACUCAAAACAUGGUUCCGUCAACAUUGGUUCCAGUACUUCCUCUUUCUCCACAGUUGUCAAAACCGAAGCCUGUUGAUAAUGAAGACCACGUCGAGCCACCCCUAAACCCAUCGCAGCAUACGGUGGACAUCUCCCAGCAGAUGAUAAAGCUGUUAACAAGGUGUAACGAUGUUGUGGCUAACGCCACGGGUUUGUUGGGUUACGUCCCUUAUCAUUCCUUAUGAAAGAUUACGUUAAAAAGUCUGUAGAGAGAGAUGUAGGUGAAGUUUCGUGUGCUUACAAUAUUAGUAGGGCAUGUUUAAUACUAUUUUAUACUAGUAAGUAGUAUGGUUACUUUUGCUGUUGUGCGCUCUCUCUCUUUCUCGCUC
Molecule: long non-coding RNA, 20503 nt
Filed under: Capsella rubella
Lineage: Eukaryota; Viridiplantae; Streptophyta; Magnoliopsida; Brassicales; Brassicaceae
Description: long non-coding RNA (CRUB_LNC003519)
Source: RNAcentral